GAUGAACGCUGGCGGCGUGCCUAAUACAUGCAAGUCGAGCGAACAGACGAGGAGCUUGCUCCUCUGACGUUAGCGGCGGACGGGUGAGUAACACGUGGAUAACCUACCUAUAAUACUGGGAUAACUUCGGGAAACCGGAGCUAAUACCGGAUAAUAUAUUGAACCGCAUGGUUCAAUAGUGAAAGACGGUUUUGCUGUCACUUAUAGAUGGAUCCGCGCCGCAUUAGCUGGUUGGUAAGUUAACGGCUUACCAAGGCGACGAUGCGUAGACGACCUGAGAGGGUGGUAGGCCGCCCUAGAGCGUGGCCGCGGACAAGAGGACUGAGGGACGCAGCAGUAGGGAAUGUUCCGCAAUGGGCGAAAGCCUGACGGAGCAACGCGGCGUCAGUGAUGACGGUCUUCGGAUCGUAAAACUCUGUUAUUAGGGAAGAACAAAUGUGUAAGUAACUAUGCACGUCUUGACGGUACCUAAUCAGAAAGCCACGGCUAACUACGUG
This 497-nucleotide ribosomal RNA is filed under the name uncultured bacterium. RNAcentral describes it as "partial 16S ribosomal RNA". It matches the Rfam family "Bacterial small subunit ribosomal RNA", at positions 28 to 507 of the family's 1533-position model. The record is from RNAcentral.